Molecule: ribosomal RNA, 460 nt
Filed under: uncultured bacterium
Lineage: Bacteria
Description: partial 16S ribosomal RNA
Rfam family: Bacterial small subunit ribosomal RNA
Source: RNAcentral
CCUACGGGAGGCAGCAGUGAGGAAUAUUGGUCAAUGGGCGCUAGCCUGAACCAGCCAAGUAGCGUGAAGGAUGACUGCCCUAUGGGUUGUAAACUUCUUUUAUAUGGGAAUAAAGUGCAGUAUGUAUACUGCUUUGCAUGUACCUUAUGAAUAAGGAUCGGCUAACUCCGUGCCAGCAGCCGCGGUAAUACGGAGGAUCCGAGCGUUAUCCGGAUUUAUUGGGUGUAAAGGGAGCGUAGGCGGGUUGUUAAGUCAGUUGUGAAAGUUUGCGGCUCAACCGGAAAAUUGCAGUUGAUACUGGCAGCCUUGAGUACAGUAGAGGGAGGUGGAAUUCGUGGUGUAGCGGUGAAAUGCGUAGAUAUCACGAAGAAAUCCGAUGGCGAAGGCAGCCCGCUGGACUGUAACUGACGCUGAGGUGCGAAAGUGUGGGUAUCAAACAGGAUUAGAUACCCCGGUAGUC